This 456-nucleotide ribosomal RNA is filed under the name uncultured Thiobacillus sp. Its description in RNAcentral is "bacterial SSU rRNA". It matches the Rfam family "Bacterial small subunit ribosomal RNA", at positions 919 to 1382 of the family's 1533-position model. The record is from RNAcentral. Lineage: Bacteria; Pseudomonadati; Pseudomonadota; Betaproteobacteria; Nitrosomonadales; Thiobacillaceae.
ACCCGCACAAGCGGUGGAUGAUGUGGAUUAAUUCGAUGCAACGCGAAAACCUUACCUACCCUUGACAUGUCUGGAACCUUGGUGAGAGCCGAGGGUGCCUUCGGGAGCCAGAACACAGGUGCUGCAUGGCUGUCGUCAGCUCGUGUCGUGAGAUGUUGGGUUAAGUCCCGCAACGAGCGCAACCCUUAUCAUUAGUUGCUACGCAAGGGCACUCUAAUGAGACUGCCGGUGACAAACCGGAGGAAGGUGGGGAUGACGUCAAGUCCUCAUGGCCCUUAUGGGUAGGGCUUCACACGUCAUACAAUGGUCGGUACAGAGGGUUGCCAAGCCGCGAGGUGGAGCCAAUCCCAGAAAGCCGAUCGUAGUCCGGAUUGUUCUCUGCAACUCGAGAGCAUGAAGUCGGAAUCGCUAGUAAUCGCGGAUCAGCAUGUCGCGGUGAAUACGUUCCCGGGUCUU